AAUUUUUUUAACUUAAAGAAUAAAAAAUUUAAAAAACAAAAUCUUAAAAAAAAAAAAGGAAAAAGGGAAAAUGGGGAGCAACUGGUUAAAGAAUCAGGAGUUUCUUUUUGGGUGAUAAAAAUGUUCUGCAAUUAAAUACUGGUAGUGGUUGCACAACACUGUAAAUAAAAGAAAUGCCAAUGAACUGAUCGGAAGAGCA
This is a long non-coding RNA of Herpailurus yagouaroundi (jaguarundi), 199 nucleotides long. RefSeq lists it as uncharacterized. The record is from RefSeq and is a predicted model, not a curated record. The transcript is spliced from 3 exons. NCBI's taxonomy places the organism in Eukaryota, Metazoa, Chordata, Mammalia, Carnivora, Felidae.